This 75-nucleotide microRNA precursor is filed under the name Salmo salar (Atlantic salmon). RNAcentral describes it as "mir-460 microRNA precursor family". It matches the Rfam family "mir-460 microRNA precursor family". Lineage: Eukaryota; Metazoa; Chordata; Actinopteri; Salmoniformes; Salmonidae. The record is from Rfam by way of RNAcentral.
CUGUACGGCUCCUGCAUUGUACACACUGUGCGUAACUUAUGUAAGCACAGCGCAUACAAUGUGGAUGCUGUGUCG